Molecule: ribosomal RNA, 301 nt
Filed under: uncultured bacterium
Lineage: Bacteria
Description: partial 16S ribosomal RNA
Rfam family: Bacterial small subunit ribosomal RNA
Source: RNAcentral
CAGCAGCCGCGGUAACACGGAGGGUGCAAGCGUUAAUCGGAUUUACUGGGCGUAAAGCGUGCGUAGGCGGCUUUUUAAGUCGGAUGUGAAAUCCCUGAGCUUAACUUAGGAAUUGCAUUCGAUACUGGGAAGCUAGAGUAUGGGAGAGGAUGGUAGAAUUCCAGGUGUAGCGGUGAAAUGCGUAGAGAUCUGGAGGAAUACCGAUGGCGAAGGCAGCCAUCUGGCCUAAUACUGACGCUGAGGUACGAAAGCAUGGGGAGCAAACAGGAUUAGAGACCCCAGUAGUCCCUGUCUCUUAUAC